GUGUCAGCAGCCGCGGUAAAACGUAGGAAGCGAGCGUUAUCCGGAUUUACUGGGCGUAAAGCGUGUGUAGGCGGUUUGAUAAGUUGGAUGUGAAAGCUCCUGGCUUAACUGGGAGAGGUCGUUCAAAACUGUCAGACUCGAGAGUGGUAGAGGGAGGUGGAAUUCCGGGUGUAGUGGUGAAAUGCGUAGAUAUCCGGAGGAACACCAGUGGCGAAAGCGGCCUCCUGGCCCAUUUCUGACGCUCAGACACGAAAGCUAAGGUAGCAAACGGGAUUAGAAACCCUUGUAGUCC
This 292-nucleotide ribosomal RNA is filed under the name uncultured bacterium. RNAcentral's name for it is "partial 16S ribosomal RNA". It matches the Rfam family "Bacterial small subunit ribosomal RNA", at positions 505 to 796 of the family's 1533-position model. The record is from RNAcentral.